UUUUUUUGAGAGUUUGAUCCUGGCUCAGGAUGAACGCUAGCGGCGUGGAUAAGGCAUGCAAGUCAAGGGGUCCUUCGGAGUCCGCAAGGACGAAGGAGGAAACCGGCGAACGGGUUAGUAACACGUAGAUACUUACCCCAAAGACGGGCAUAAUCCCGCGAAAGCGGGAUUAAUUCCCGAUAGACCCUGAGAGCAAUCGAAGGGUAAAGGAGCAAUCCGCUUUGGGAGAGGUCUGCGGCUCAUCAGCUAGUUGGCAGGGUAAUGGCCUACCAAGGCGAUGACGGGUAGGGGAUAUGAGAGUGUGUUCCCCAACAAGGG
RNAcentral lists this ribosomal RNA (318 nucleotides) under Candidatus Nealsonbacteria bacterium CG08_land_8_20_14_0_20_36_22. Its description in RNAcentral is "bacterial SSU rRNA". It matches the Rfam family "Bacterial small subunit ribosomal RNA", at positions 1 to 316 of the family's 1533-position model. The record is from RNAcentral. Lineage: Bacteria; Candidatus Nealsoniibacteriota.